Molecule: long non-coding RNA, 1342 nt
Organism: Panicum hallii
Lineage: Eukaryota; Viridiplantae; Streptophyta; Magnoliopsida; Poales; Poaceae
Exons: 6
Source: RefSeq, a predicted model, not a curated record
GUGGAACACCGAGCUCCCCAGAGGAGACCUGGACCAAGUUGAUGAGUUGCUAGCCAUCAUAGCAGCUCACAAAGAAAUAGGGGUGACUGGAGCAUCUGUAAUGUUCUCUUUCUUCAAGUGCCGGAUCCAGCCACUCCAACAAUACCACACUUUAGGAUUCGAGUACAUAGACGCUGAAGAUUCCUCUCGGAUGUGCGCAGAAGAACUGUCUGAUGACGCCGCACUCACCCGGGUCAGGCGAGUGCUGCUGGACGUGGAUGCAGUUCCCUAUGUCCUGCAGCUGUUUUCAGCACAAAAUCCUCCAAAACCGGGACACACAGAGUUGUACCGAAGCUACCCUCCACAACCCGACAUCCCUCGACCGGACCACCUUCUCCCCAGCGCCACAGCCGAAGUGAAGAGGGCUCGAGCAGCCGAGGCUCUGCCCGGCAGCGACUCCACUGAAGGCGGGAGCCCCCUAGAGGAAGAGAAAGCCGAAGGAGAGACGAGAAGGAACAACUCACCCGGACCAUCCGUGGAGCUGACCGAAACUCUGCCGUUGGUCCCACAGGGUCGUCGGGUGGUGCGCAAACGGAAAGCGCAUGUAGUCGAGUCUUCCAAUCCACCUGCUUCUCCUCCCGAGCCCGAGCGCGAAGAGGUGGGAACAGAUCCAUCAGCUUCUGCGACAGGAGCGGUUACCAUUGCCGUGGCGGACACCGCGCCACUAGCUGGUGUGACCCCACCGCCAGCAACGAGUACUGUGGUUGAAACGCCAUGGCUCUGAGAGUGGAGAAAGCUGUCAUGAAGAAGUCUUCGCUAUCUGCAAGUGACAUGAGGCACAAGCCAAAGCCUGCCGCAGCAACCCCAGCCCCCGAGCCACCAGCCUCAGAGGAGCCCACACCCAAGGAGCCAGCCCCUGAGGCAGACACAACGCUACCCAACCAGCCACCCCCCGAGCCCCAACAAGCCGAAGCCAGGGCUGGUGGUGAGGAACGAAUCGAGGCCACUGAAGCCGCUCCUGCAGAUGGGACAAGUGCCCAACAGCCAUCCACUGAAGAAGCCGCAGGGACCUCAAGGAGCCUUGGAGAUCUGCUGGUGACCGGACGCGGAUACUAGAAUGUCAUCACCACAGAUCUGGUGGAUGACCCGAUGCUGACGGAGGACAACAUAAGAUACUUCAAGAAGAUCUCCAAAGAGUUGUACAAUUACACCGUGGAUGUGAUCAAAUACUCACAGAAAAAGAUAGAGAAACUGAAAGCAGUCGUGAGUGGCCACCAGGAGCUAGCUGCCAAGAACAAACGCAUAUCCGAAGAGCUGACGAAGAACAUCUAUCUUCAGGGAGAACUUGACAAGCUGAAGCGAG